This 51-nucleotide non-coding RNA is filed under the name Pseudomonas putida. Its description in RNAcentral is "Guanidine-II sequence". It matches the Rfam family "Guanidine-II riboswitch aptamer (mini-ykkC)". From Rfam's summary of the family: Simpler in structure and has fewer highly conserved nucleotide positions than the ykkC-yxkD leader. Despite this each of its two stem-loop structures directly bind free guanidine. Lineage: Bacteria; Pseudomonadati; Pseudomonadota; Gammaproteobacteria; Pseudomonadales; Pseudomonadaceae. The record is from RNAcentral.
CAGCGAGGACGGCCUCGCGACGCAACGCGUGAACGCCCGGGGACGGCCCCA